UGCGGAAGGAUCAUUAAAGAGUAAGGGUGCUCAGCGCCCGACCUCCAACCCUUUGUUGUUAAAACUACCUUGUUGCUUUGGCGGGACCGCUCGGUUCCGAGCCGCUGGGGAUUCGUCCCAGGCGAGUGCCCGCCAGAGUUAAACCAAACUCUUGUUAUUAAACCGGUCGUCUGAGUUAAAAUUUUGAAUAAAUCAAAACUUUCAACAACGGAUCUCUUGGUUCUCGCAUCGAUGAAGAACGCAGCGAAAUGCGAUAAGUAAUGUGAAUUGCAGAAUUCAGUGAAUCAUCGAAUCUUUGAACGCACAUUGCGCCCCUUGGUAUUCCGAGGGGCAUGCCUGUUCGAGCGUCAUUACACCACUCAAGCUAUGCUUGGUAUUGGGUGCCGUCCUUAGUUGGGCGCGCCUUAAAGACCUCGGCGAGGCCACUCCGGCUUUAGGCGUAGUAGAAUUUAUUCGAACGUCUGUCAAAGGAGAGGAACUCUGCCGAUUGAAACCUUUAUUUUUCUAGGUUGACCUCGGAUCAGGUAGGGAUACCCGCUGAACUUAA
RNAcentral lists this unclassified non-coding RNA (547 nucleotides) under Metschnikowia sp. JSKim-2014. RNAcentral describes it as "partial contains 18S rRNA, ITS1, 5.8S rRNA, and ITS2". The stretch from base 197 to 350 matches the Rfam family "5.8S ribosomal RNA". The record is from RNAcentral. Lineage: Eukaryota; Fungi; Ascomycota; Pichiomycetes; Serinales; Metschnikowiaceae.